Molecule: ribosomal RNA, 274 nt
Filed under: uncultured bacterium
Lineage: Bacteria
Description: partial 16S ribosomal RNA
Rfam family: Bacterial small subunit ribosomal RNA
Source: RNAcentral
AUACGGAGGGUGCGAGCGUUAAUCGGAAUUACUGGGCGUAAAGGGUGCGUAGGCGGCUUGAUAAGUCGGAUGUGAAAGCCCCGGGCCUAACCUGGGAAUUGCAUUCGAUACUGUCAGGCUAGAGUAUGUCAGAGGUUGGCGGAAUUCCUGGUGUAGCGGUAAAAUGCGUAGAUAUCAGGAGGAACACCAGUGGCGAAGGCGGCUAACUGGGACAAUACUGACGCUGAGGCACGAAAGCGUGGGGAGCAAACAGGAUUAGAAACCCUAGUAGUCC